This 506-nucleotide ribosomal RNA is filed under the name uncultured Bacillota bacterium. Its description in RNAcentral is "bacterial SSU rRNA". It matches the Rfam family "Bacterial small subunit ribosomal RNA", at positions 76 to 561 of the family's 1533-position model. The record is from RNAcentral. Lineage: Bacteria; Bacillati; Bacillota.
UCAGCAAUGAUUCUUAGUGGCGAACGGGUGAGUAACGCGUAGACAACCUGCCUUCUAGAUGGGGACAACACUGCGAAAGUGGUGCUAAUACCGAAUGUUGUAUUAAGCCUGCAUGGGCUUGAUACUAAAGGUGGCCUCUAUUUAUAAGCUAUCACUAGAAGAUGGGUCUGCGUCUGAUUAGCUAGUUGGUGAGGUAAUGGCUCACCAAGGCGAUGAUCAGUAGCCGGUCUGAGAGGAUGAACGGCCACACUGGGACUGAGACACGGCCCAGACUCCUACGGGAGGCAGCAGUGGGGAAUCUUCCGCAAUGGACGAAAGUCUGACGGAGCAACGCCGCGUGAGUGAAGAAGGUUUUCGGAUCGUAAAGCUCUGUCUUUGAGGACGAAUGUGUCUAAUGUGAAUAAUGUUAGAUAAUGACGGUACUCGAGGAGGAAGCCACGGCUAACUACGUGCCAGCAGCCGCGGUAAUACGUAGGUGGCAAGCGUUGUCCGGAAUUAUUGGGCGU